AGCCUCAUUCUAUUGAAAAUGGUCACUGUUGUUCAUAGUGUCCAUUAACUGUUAAUGUGGCUACAUUGAGAACACAGGUGUUGCUUCCAUCACUGUAAUUUUAUUGCAAUGGUGACAAUGAGAGCUGCACCAUUU
This is a small nucleolar RNA of Hippopotamus amphibius kiboko, 135 nucleotides long. RefSeq annotates it as small nucleolar RNA SNORA1. The transcript has a single exon. The record is from RefSeq and is a predicted model, not a curated record. Lineage: Eukaryota; Metazoa; Chordata; Mammalia; Artiodactyla; Hippopotamidae.